AGUUUGAUCAUGGCUCAGAUUGAACGCUGGCGGCAGGCCUAACACAUGCAAGUCGAGCGGUAGAGAGAAGCUUGCUUCUCUUGAGAGCGGCGGACGGGUGAGUAAUACCUAGGAAUCUGCCUGAUAGUGGGGGAUAACGUUCGGAAACGGACGCUAAUACCGCAUACGCCCUACGGGAGAAAGCAGGGGACCUUCGGGCCUUGCGCUAUAAGAUGAGCCUAGGUCGGAUUAGCUAGUUGGUGAGGUAAUGGCUCACCAAGGCUACGAUCCGUAACUGGUCUGAGAGGAUGAUCAGUCACACUGGAACUGAGACACGGUCCAGACUCCUACGGGAGGCAGCAGUGGGGAAUAUUGGACAAUGGGCGAAAGCCUGAUCCAGCCAUGCCGCGUGUGUGAAGAAGGUCUUCGGAUUGUAAAGCACUUUAAGUUGGGAGGAAGGGCAUUAACCUAAUACGUUAGUGUCUUGACGUUACCGACAGAAUAAGCACCGGCUAACUCUGUG
This 502-nucleotide ribosomal RNA is filed under the name uncultured bacterium. RNAcentral's name for it is "bacterial SSU rRNA". It matches the Rfam family "Bacterial small subunit ribosomal RNA", at positions 10 to 507 of the family's 1533-position model. The record is from RNAcentral.